Molecule: long non-coding RNA, 1402 nt
Filed under: Homo sapiens (human)
Lineage: Eukaryota; Metazoa; Chordata; Mammalia; Primates; Hominidae
Description: HSALNT0150310
Source: RNAcentral
UUUUAUUUGGAAAAACAUAGAAAUUGACCUUCUGGUCUUAAAUAUUGAAUCUUACAUUUGUUUUAUCUGAGUUUCUUCCUCAAAAAAUUGACCCUCAGGCCUCAUAAAACAGUAUCAAAGAACUGAAACUCACCAGAUCGCCACAUCCAGACAAUGAGAUGCCAGGGUCCUCAUUCAUCCUGAUUGCUUCCUUGCCCCUUCUUAGUUCCUGUCUUCUUACACACUGUUACAGUUCUUCCAUGCUAUAUAAACCCUGAGUUUUAGUCAGUCAGGGAGAUGAAUUUGAGACUGAACUCCUAUCUCCUCAACUGUAGCACCCAAUUAAAGCCUUCUCGAUUAAAGCCUUCUUUCCUGGCAAUACUCAUUGUCUCAGUGAUUGGCUUUCUGUGCAGUGAGCAGCAGGACCUAUACCAAACCCCUGGUUUUUCAGUAACAACAAAACAAGACAGAUCUGGAAAAGGCAAAGGACCAAAAAUAGCUGUAGAAACUGAUGCUAACUCAUUGAUGUGGCAGAAUUACUUGAGGAGACCAGUCCUUUACUGAGAGGAAGAUGGAUUACAUCCUAAACCUUCCUCAAUGGAGAGGCAGUGAUUCAUACUCACUGGAAUUGACACCCACCUAUGCCAGAGCACAGAGAUUAUCUUUUAAAGAUCAAUUUAUGUAGAACUGACAGUUGGCAUAGAUCGUAAACUGUCCUUUCAUAAUGGCGAUCCAUUUGUUCUCAAAUGCGCUGACAUUUUGUCAUAUGGAACAUUUUCAUUUUGGCUACAAAAUAAGUGGAAAUUUUAGUUUGCAGCAAUAAGCUUCCAUCUCCCAUUAUUAAAAAGAUUAUUUUAUAGUUGCAUGCAUCUUUAUUAUUUUAUAUAUAUAUAGUAUAGGAUCAAAAUUCAUAAAUGAUGUGAUGAAUAGUACUGUUGCCUGGCUUAGGUAGCUAUGGUACUGAUGUGAUAAAUGAUACAGCAAAAAUAAAAAGCAAAUUCAGGAUUCAGUUCACUUUCCACAUUUCUUCACUAACUUAAAAAAGUUAGAACACAUGGCUUUCAAAUAAUUUUUCAAUCUAUUGAUAGUGCAACGAUGUUAUAUAUUAUUAUUGAUGACUACCACUACAAACAGAAACAAAAUACCUUGAUUGGUAGUUAAGCAAAAGAAGAGUAUUAAAUCUCAUUAUAUUGUAAAAGUAAUGAAUAAAAUUUUGGAGAUGCUGGAAAAGAAUAGAUUUACCUAUGUUGCACUUUAUUUUUAAAGGUCAUAUUUUUAAAAGUCCAUUCUAUGCCUUCAAAUUUGAAGUCGUCAGCUAAUAUGCUAUUAUUUACAAAAGAUGUGCAAAACACUUUUGACAAUAGAAAGGUUUAAUAUAGUUGUUGCUCAUCAGGGUCUAUUGGUUUCAAUAUCUGAUAUUCUG